Molecule: long non-coding RNA, 683 nt
Filed under: Setaria italica (foxtail millet)
Lineage: Eukaryota; Viridiplantae; Streptophyta; Magnoliopsida; Poales; Poaceae
Description: long non-coding RNA (SITA_LNC004623)
Source: RNAcentral
CUACACCCAUCUCCCCCGACCUUCUAGCUCCUUCAAAUUCACGCCUUUCCCCGUGCCGCACCUUCCUCGCCGGCAGCUCUCUCCUCCGCCUUUCUCCUGCUAUGCCCGACUACCUCCUCACGUUACCCUCACCCUGAAUCACCCCUGAGCCCCCUCGUUUGAGCACUCUCUCAACCAUUUCCCCAGUAUGCGCUCAUCUACAGAGGUCGAGGAGGGACGGCCCUUCUUCAUCCACUUCUUUUGGCGGUGUACGCAACAUGGCGACAUCGAUGGGGACCGUCAAUCUAGAGCACUAUCAUGUUGUUGCCGUCUCGAUUGAGCUCGUCGCCCUUCAUCUCUGUGUACGGCAAGCUGUGAUGAGUACAUUGGUAUCAUCUUGGAGUUUGUUAGGCUUGUGUUUGCCCCUCUUCUCCUGAUACCAAUUGGUUGACCCACUUUUUGUUGUAGCUCGUGACGUUAGAUGCUACAAUACUUUUAUUUUUAUGUUGCAAAUAAGUCUUAAUUGGAAAAUUGUUGGAGAACAUGGACUUGUUGGUCUCCAGUGAGCUCCUCCCAAGGACGUGCAAAUGGCUGGACUCAUACUUGGAGGGUCAAAUCUGGAGAAACACAGACCAUUUGAAUGUUUUCAUUUUUAACUGUUGCAACUGAUUUCAUGAUGUUUCAUCUAGUCAUUUCAAAUGUGG